AGAUUGAACGCUGGCGGCAGGCCUAACACAUGCAAGUCGAGCGGUAGAGAGGUGCUUGCACCUCUUGAGAGCGGCGGACGGGUGAGUAAAGCCUAGGAAUCUGCCUGGUAGGUGGGGGAUAACGCUCGGAAACGGACGCUAAUACCGCAUACGUCCUACGGGAGAAAGCGAGGGGACCUUCGGGCCUUG
RNAcentral lists this ribosomal RNA (189 nucleotides) under uncultured soil bacterium. RNAcentral describes it as "partial 16S ribosomal RNA". It matches the Rfam family "Bacterial small subunit ribosomal RNA", at positions 26 to 222 of the family's 1533-position model. The record is from RNAcentral.